Molecule: long non-coding RNA, 854 nt
Organism: Perca fluviatilis (European perch)
Lineage: Eukaryota; Metazoa; Chordata; Actinopteri; Perciformes; Percidae
Exons: 2
Source: RefSeq, a predicted model, not a curated record
UGUUAUAACAUGUAUUAUGACAAAAAUCUAUCAAAAGUCACAAAAAGUGUUAUUACAUAGUUAUUACAUUGUUAUAACAUGUAUUAAUGACAAAAAAUCUAUCAAAAAGUUUAAAAAAAAUGUCAAAAAGUGUUAUUACACAGUUGUACACAGUACAUGCCAUAAAAGUGGGCGUAAAUUAUUUUUUUGUCCAUGAAAAAAAAAUUCACUUUUUUUUUUCUUAAAUUAGGAUGUUCUCUUCCUUUGUCCUACUCUGGUCUCUUUCUUUCUCUGAGGUGUCCUACUCUUCUCUGAGUUGUCCUACUCUGGUCUCUCCCUUUCUCUGAGUUGUCCUACUCUGGUCUCUCCCUUUCUCUGAGUUGUCCUACUCUGGUCUCUCCCUUUCUCUGAGUUUUCCUACUCUGGUCUCUCCCUUUCUCUGAGUUUUCCUACUCUGGUCUCUGCCUGUCCUUGUCUUUAUACUCUCCUACUCUCUCCUUGCCUGCACUUCCUUUCCUAGCCUCUCUUUCCUAUCUGGGGGGGCCUAUCUAAGUGCACAUACGCUGAUACCGAGCUGGUCUUGAACCCGUCACUGGCGCCUUUAGUGGCGAGGACAAACCAACCGCGCCACCAGCGCACGUACGCAUGCAGCUGUUCUCCGGGUGUAUUUGUCUUUGUCAUUCUGGGUGUAAAGCUCAAAAUAAAUUGACUGUUCUUGUGUUGGAACCCAUAACCUUUGUGUCUCUUAACCAGCGUUCCAUCACACUGAGCUAUCAGAUCUGAUCACCAAGCUUAUUGUUAGUUGUGUAUUUGUCUUUGUCAUUCUGGGUGUAAAACUCAAAAUAAAUUGUUUAUUCCUGUAUUGGAACCCAUAA